Long non-coding RNA from Thalassophryne amazonica, 97 nucleotides. RefSeq lists it as uncharacterized. The record is from RefSeq and is a predicted model, not a curated record. NCBI's taxonomy places the organism in Eukaryota, Metazoa, Chordata, Actinopteri, Batrachoidiformes, Batrachoididae. The transcript has 3 exons.
CUUCAGGUGUUUUUUUGGGCUGAUAUCUGCUCACUGCUGGAGCGGUGUCUGCAUCCUCCUCCGUGUUCCAGCAGUCAGUGCUGGGGCAUGUCUCUGC